This 501-nucleotide ribosomal RNA is filed under the name uncultured bacterium. Its description in RNAcentral is "bacterial SSU rRNA". It matches the Rfam family "Bacterial small subunit ribosomal RNA", at positions 10 to 507 of the family's 1533-position model. The record is from RNAcentral.
AGUUUGAUCAUGGCUCAGGAUGAACGCUAGCGGCAGGCCUAAUACAUGCAAGUCGAACGGCAGCACGGGUAGCAAUAUCUGGUGGCGAGUGGCGCACGGGUGCGUAACGCGUAUGCAAUCUACCUUUAACUGGUGAAUAGCCCGAAGAAAUUCGGAUUAAUACACCAUAAUAUAUUAGAGUGGCAUCACUUUAAUAUUAAAACUACGGUGGUUAAAGAUGAGCAUGCGUGACAUUAGCUAGUUGGUGAGGUAAUGGCUCACCAAGGCUACGAUGUCUAGGGGAUCUGAGAGGAUUAACCCCCACACUGGUACUGAGACACGGACCAGACUCCUACGGGAGGCAGCAGUAAGGAAUAUUGGACAAUGGUGGCAACACUGAUCCAGCCAUGCCGCGUGAAGGAUGACGGCCCUAUGGGUUGUAAACUUCUUUUGUACGGGAAAAACCUCUUUACGUGUAAAGAGCUGAUUGUACUGUAAGAAUAAGGAUCGGCUAACUCCGUG